GUACUGUGAAGAGUCCCAAACUAGUGGGACGAAACAGCUGUCCAGUAC
Non-coding RNA from Trichobilharzia regenti, 48 nucleotides. The record is from Rfam. Lineage: Eukaryota; Metazoa; Platyhelminthes; Trematoda; Strigeidida; Schistosomatidae.